Molecule: ribosomal RNA, 466 nt
Filed under: uncultured bacterium
Lineage: Bacteria
Description: partial 16S ribosomal RNA
Rfam family: Bacterial small subunit ribosomal RNA
Source: RNAcentral
GAUGAACGCUGGCGGCGUGCUUAACACAUGCAAGUCGAACGAUGAUGCCCAGCUUGCUGGGUGGAUUAGUGGCGAACGGGUGAGUAACACGUGAGUAACCUGCCCUUGACUCUGGGAUAAGCCUGGGAAACUGGGUCUAAUACCGGAUACGACCAUCUGGCGCAUGUCAUGGUGGUGGAAAGCUUUUGUGGUUUUGGAUGGACUCGCGGCCUAUCAGCUUGUUGGUGGGGUAAUGGCCUACCAAGGCGACGACGGGUAGCCGGCCUGAGAGGGUGACCGGCCACACUGGGACUGAGACACGGCCCAGACUCCUACGGGAGGCAGCAGUGGGGAAUAUUGCACAAUGGGCGCAAGCCUGAUGCAGCGACGCCGCGUGAGGGAUGACGGCCUUCGGGUUGUAAACCUCUUUCAGUAGGGAAGAAGCGAAAGUGACGGUACCGGCAGAAGAAGCGCCGGCUAACUACGU